RNAcentral lists this small RNA (143 nucleotides) under Flavobacterium sp. 5. RNAcentral's name for it is "Flavo-1 RNA". Lineage: Bacteria; Pseudomonadati; Bacteroidota; Flavobacteriia; Flavobacteriales; Flavobacteriaceae. The record is from RNAcentral.
UUCUGCUAGGGAUAGUAAUGGAAAGCCCGUAAAGGCAAAACCGUGAAAAAACAUGGAAUAGAAAAGCGACCAUAGGAAGCUCUUUCUAUGACUAUGUUUUUGAGGUUUUGACUGCGGACUUGAAAUGGAUAGCCCGCUCGAGC